This 1164-nucleotide long non-coding RNA is filed under the name Felis catus (domestic cat). RNAcentral describes it as "lncRNA (ENSFCAG00000048268.1)". Lineage: Eukaryota; Metazoa; Chordata; Mammalia; Carnivora; Felidae. The record is from RNAcentral.
GCCACUAAGUUUCGACGUGGUUUAUUACACAGCAAAAGCCAACUGCUAACCCCAGUUGGGAGGGCAGGUCUAUUUGAAGACAUCAAAUCCUAGCUGGGGGAACCUGCUGGGGAGAGAAGGUAGGUGGGGACUUUUUCUCUCCAUUUGCAAAGCUGGAUGACUUCACACCCUCCCAACUCUUAUCCCUGUCCCCAUUCUUUUUUUUUUUUUUUCCCCUCUUUUUAUCCAUCAUGCUUCCAGCAGGGGAAGGAAGCAGACGUUCCCACUCUUGGUGCUGCAUACCUGCUAAAGGGAGAGAGGAUUAGCUGUGGUAGACCAGCCAGGGAGCAGGACGCCCGCUAGAUAAUUAACCCAUCCUCCUACAUACCUUGGCUUCCAACAAAAGGAGCUGUACAAAUCGACCCAACAAAAUUAUCGGUGCUAAUCUCCCAGCCCCUCCUUCCCGCUGUCCCUCUCCUGGCCAGCACCUGGCAGGGCUGUUAAGCCAUCACAUUCUACCCCCCCUCAACCCCCAGCCCUGUCCCCACUCUCCUUUUCUCUCUUUCUCAAGUUGUUACCGCACAGGCAUCACGGAAGGAAUCAAACAGGGACAGGUCCUAUUGUUCGGCAAAGAGGCAAGAAAAAAAAAUAAUCAAAAAAGCAGGGGACUUAAAAAAGACCAGAAUUAUUUCUCAAAUAGAAUGGGAAAAUCUAACAUGCCUUAUCACUACGGAGAACAAGCACUGUGCAAACGCCCAGGCCUCUGACUGGCAUGCCGCUUGUUUUGAAUAGACGCAUGACAUUGUCAAAGAGCCUGCCAUUGUGUUGCUGAAAGGCACUUGCAACAUUGCAUAAAAAUCAGGCGUUCGUGUCACCCUCAGACUAGUCAAAGCUGCUGUUUUUUUUCUUUCUUUCUUUCUUUUUGAAAGAAGAAAGAAGGAAAAUAAGAAAUGUCCCCAGAAUAAGACCUUCAAAGCCAGAUAAAUGUUAUUUUUGAAAGACACUAGGAAACUGGGCACCCAAGCAAAGCCGCGAACGGAAGAGUGUCCUUCUCAUCUGUCACUUCUCGGGGAGGAAAUGAAGUUUCAGACCUUUGGAAUUCCAGAGGGAUCUAAACUCGUCUCCGGGAACUGGGCUUAUCUCCUGCCACCCUUAAACCAUGCUGAGGAACCCGGAGGGAGCUGA